AUUAAAGAUUUUGGCGGUAUUUUAGUCCAUUCAGAGGAACCUGUCCUGUAAUUGAUAAUCCACGAUUUAAUUUACUUGUUUUUUUAGUUUGUAUAUCGUCGUGGGUUGAAUAUUUUAUAAGAAUUAUAAUGUUCAAUAAAUAUAAAUUUAUUUUAUGUCAGAUCAAGGUGCAGCUUAUGAAUAAGAAGAGAUGGGUUACAAUAAAAUUAUUUUUGGUUUAUUAGCUUUAAUGUUUUUAGUAAAUUGGAUUUGAAUGUAAUAUUUUUUAAUUUAUAGAUGUGAUUUUGGCUCUAAAAUAUGCACAUAUUGCCCGUCGCUCUCAUUUAAUAUGAGAUAAGUCGUAACAAAGUAGAUGUACUGGAAAGUGUAUCUAGAAAGAU
Molecule: ribosomal RNA, 380 nt
Filed under: Melanotus okinawensis
Lineage: Eukaryota; Metazoa; Arthropoda; Insecta; Coleoptera; Elateridae
Also listed under: 1 other name
Description: partial small subunit ribosomal RNA
Source: RNAcentral